GAUGAACGCUGGCGGCGUGCUUAACACAUGCAAGUCGAACGGAAAGGCCCAAGCUUGCUUGGGUACUCGAGUGGCGAACGGGUGAGUAACACGUGGGUGAUCUGCCCUGCACUUCGGGAUAAGCCUGGGAAACUGGGUCUAAUACCGGAUAGGACCACAUUUUGGAUGGUGUGGUGGAAAGUUUUUCGGUGUGGGAUGAGCUCGCGGCCUAUCAGCUUGUUGGUGGGGUAAUGGCCUACCAAGGCGUCGACGGGUAGCCGGCCUGAGAGGGUGUACGGCCACAUUGGCACUGAGAUACGGCCCAGACUCCUACGGGAGGCAGCAGUGGGGAAUAUUGCACAAUGGGCGCAAGCCUGAUGCAGCGACGCCGCGUGGGGGAUGACGGCCUUCGGGUUGUAAACUCCUUUCGCUAGGGACGAAGCGCAAGUGACGGUACCUGGAGAAGAAGCACCGGCUAACUACGUG
This 465-nucleotide ribosomal RNA is filed under the name uncultured bacterium. RNAcentral's name for it is "partial 16S ribosomal RNA". It matches the Rfam family "Bacterial small subunit ribosomal RNA", at positions 28 to 507 of the family's 1533-position model. The record is from RNAcentral.